CUCGAUGGCGGCUGUGCGCAGGGCGCCCUCGGGCGCGCCGAUUUCUUGGCUCAUCGGUCUACUAACCUGUGCACAGCUGCCUCCCUU
This 87-nucleotide non-coding RNA is filed under the name Pseudomonas sp. SJZ080. Lineage: Bacteria; Pseudomonadati; Pseudomonadota; Gammaproteobacteria; Pseudomonadales; Pseudomonadaceae. The record is from RNAcentral.